This is a long non-coding RNA of Pristis pectinata (smalltooth sawfish), 420 nucleotides long. RefSeq lists it as uncharacterized. The record is from RefSeq and is a predicted model, not a curated record. The transcript is spliced from 3 exons. NCBI's taxonomy places the organism in Eukaryota, Metazoa, Chordata, Chondrichthyes, Rhinopristiformes, Pristidae.
CAACAACAGGAAAGAAAACCGUGAACAGUCAUUACUUUCCAAGGGAGGGGGUGUGAGUAAAGAUUUCUCAUCAAACAGAAUGGAAAAAGUAUAAACCAAGUAAAAAAUAUUGUUGCAUGGUGAAGAUCAUAUCCACUGUACCUCUCGAUAUAUGAAUCCCUACUGCUCUUCAGUCAUUGGGAGGAUACAGUUGAGGACGAUCCUGGCAAGGAUGUUCCCCAUUGCAGACAGCUAGAUGACACUGCUGGAGUUGCCACAGUCAGACCUGUCUCAUUUUUUGAAGCUGUCGGAACCAAAUGCAGUAACUACCACCUUGUCCGGAUCCUGAGAUCGAGUGAUAAACAUGGACAACUGCAGAUUUAACAAGAAUUAAGUUGGAGAAGAUUUCAUGUAUUAUUGCUUUAUUAAAUCUGAUAUUUU